UUGAACGCUGGCGGCAGGCCUAACACAUGCAAGUCGAACGGUAACAGGAAGCAGCUUGCUGCUUUGCUGACGAGUGGCGGACGGGUGAGUAAUGUCUGGGAAACUGCCCGAUGGAGGGGGAUAACUACUGGAAACGGUAGCUAGUACCGCAUAACGUCGCAAGACCAAAGAGGGGGACCUUAGGGCCUCUUGCCAUCGGAUGUGCCCAGAUGGGAUUAGCUAGUAGGUGGGGUAACGGCUCACCUAGGCGACGAUCCCUAGCUGGUCUGAGAGGAUGACCAGCCACACUGGAACUGAGACACGGUCCAGACUCCUACGGGAGGCAGCAGUGGGGAAUAUUGCACAAUGGGCGCAAGCCUGAUGCAGCCAUGCCGCGUGUAUGAAGAAGGCCUUCAGGUUGUAAAGUACUUUCAGCGGGGAGGAAGGGAGUAAAGUUAAUACCUUUGCUCAUUGACGUUACCCGCAGAAGAAGCACCGGCUAACUCCGUG
RNAcentral lists this ribosomal RNA (489 nucleotides) under uncultured bacterium. RNAcentral describes it as "partial 16S ribosomal RNA". It matches the Rfam family "Bacterial small subunit ribosomal RNA", at positions 30 to 507 of the family's 1533-position model. The record is from RNAcentral.